Molecule: transfer RNA, 73 nt
Filed under: Bos taurus (domestic cattle)
Lineage: Eukaryota; Metazoa; Chordata; Mammalia; Artiodactyla; Bovidae
Also listed under: 4 other names
Rfam family: tRNA
About the family: Transfer RNA (tRNA) molecules are approximately 80 nucleotides in length. Their secondary structure includes four short double-helical elements and three loops (D, anti-codon, and T loops). Further hydrogen bonds mediate the characteristic L-shaped molecular structure. tRNAs have two regions of fundamental functional importance: the anti-codon, which is responsible for specific mRNA codon recognition, and the 3' end, to which the tRNAs corresponding amino acid is attached (by aminoacyl-tRNA synthetases). tRNAs cope with the degeneracy of the genetic code in two manners: having more than one tRNA (with a specific anti-codon) for a particular amino acid; and 'wobble' base-pairing, i.e. permitting non-standard base-pairing at the 3rd anti-codon position.
Source: Rfam by way of RNAcentral
UCCCUGGUGGUCCAGUGGUUAAGACUCUGCACUUGCAAUGCAGCGGGUGUGGGUUCAAUCCCUAGUUGGGGAA